AGUGAACGCUGGCGGUAGGCCUAACACAUGCAAGUCGAACGGCAGCACAGUAAGAGCUUGCUCUUACGGGUGGCGAGUGGCGGACGGGUGAGGAAUACAUCGGAAUCUACUUUUUCGUGGGGGAUAACGUAGGGAAACUUACGCUAAUACCGCAUACGACCUACGGGUGAAAGCAGGGGAUCUUCGGACCUUGCGCGAUUGAAUGAGCCGAUGUCGGAUUAGCUAGUUGGCGGGGUAAAGGCCCACCAAGGCGACGAUCCGUAGCUGGUCUGAGAGGAUGAUCAGCCACACUGGAACUGAGACACGGUCCAGACUCCUACGGGAGGCAACAGUGGGGAAUAUUGGACAAUGGGCGCAAGCCUGAUCCAGCCAUACCGCGUGGGUGAAGAAGGCCUUCGGGUUGUAAAGCCCUUUUGUUGGGAAAGAAAAGCAGCAGGUUAAUACCCCGCUGUUCUGACGGUACCUAAAGAAUAAGCACCGGCUAACUUCGUG
Molecule: ribosomal RNA, 492 nt
Filed under: uncultured bacterium
Lineage: Bacteria
Description: partial 16S ribosomal RNA
Rfam family: Bacterial small subunit ribosomal RNA
Source: RNAcentral